AUGCAUUCUCAGGGCAGGGUGAAACUCCCUACCGGUGGUAAAUAUUUCGAUAUAAGCCCACGAGCGCUUACUUAUCUUAGUAAGGUCAGCAGAUUUGGUGAAAAUCCAAAGCCGACAGUGAUAGUCUGGAUGAAAGAGAAUAGAG
This 145-nucleotide non-coding RNA is filed under the name Histophilus somni. Its description in RNAcentral is "Haemophilus somnus FMN sequence". It matches the Rfam family "FMN riboswitch aptamer (RFN element)". From Rfam's summary of the family: The RFN element is a highly conserved domain that is found frequently in the 5'-untranslated regions of prokaryotic mRNAs that encode for flavin mononucleotide (FMN) biosynthesis and transport proteins. The record is from Rfam by way of RNAcentral. Lineage: Bacteria; Pseudomonadati; Pseudomonadota; Gammaproteobacteria; Pasteurellales; Pasteurellaceae.